RNAcentral lists this ribosomal RNA (460 nucleotides) under uncultured bacterium. RNAcentral describes it as "partial 16S ribosomal RNA". It matches the Rfam family "Bacterial small subunit ribosomal RNA", at positions 338 to 795 of the family's 1533-position model. The record is from RNAcentral.
CCUACGGGUGGCAGCAGUGAGGAAUAUUGGUCAAUGGACGAGAGUCUGAACCAGCCAAGUAGCGUGAAGGAUGACUGCCCUAUGGGUUGUAAACUUCUUUUAUAUGGGAAUAAAAUGUUCCACGUGUGGGAUUUUGUAUGUACCAUAUGAAUAAGGAUCGGCUAACUCCGUGCCAGCAGCCGCGGUAAUACGGAGGAUCCGAGCGUUAUCCGGAUUUAUUGGGUUUAAAGGGAGCGUAGGUGGAUUGUUAAGUCAGUUGUGAAAGUUUGCGGCUCAACCGUAAAAUUGCAGUUGAAACUGGCAGUCUUGAGUACAGUAGAGGUGGGCGGAAUUCGUGGUGUAGAGGUGAAAUGCUUAGAUAUCACGAAGAACUCCGAUUGCGAAGGCAGUUCACUGGACUGCAACUGACACUGAGGCUCGAAAGUGUGGGUAUCAAACAGGAUUAGAUACCCGAGUAGUC